Molecule: ribosomal RNA, 253 nt
Filed under: uncultured bacterium
Lineage: Bacteria
Description: partial 16S ribosomal RNA
Rfam family: Bacterial small subunit ribosomal RNA
Source: RNAcentral
UACGUAGGGACCGAGCGUUGUCCGGAUUCAUUGGGCGUAAAGAGCUCGUAGGCGGCUGUUCAAGUCGAACGUGAAAACUCGGAGCUCAACUCCGAGCCUGCGUUCGAUACUGGACGGCUAGAGUCUGGUAGGGGGAUCUGGAAUUCCUGGUGUAGCGGUGGAAUGCGCAGAUAUCAGGAGGAACACCGGUGGCGAAGGCGGUUCUCUGGGCCUGUACUGACGCUGAGGAGCGAAAGCGUGGGGAGCGAACAGG